Long non-coding RNA from Engraulis encrasicolus (European anchovy), 478 nucleotides. RefSeq lists it as uncharacterized. The record is from RefSeq and is a predicted model, not a curated record. The transcript has 3 exons. NCBI's taxonomy places the organism in Eukaryota, Metazoa, Chordata, Actinopteri, Clupeiformes, Engraulidae.
AGGUGAUGGCAUUGGACCCUUUGCCACAGCAUUUAACUACACAGAGGGGGGAAGCAUUUACUAUCAGGAGUACACCUCAGGUGAUGCUCUUCACACUGCAACUCAAGACAUCAACUUCUACUUCCCCAAUAUGACCUUCACUGCUACCUGGGUAUUUGUGGUCACUUGGGACAGAAUGGUCUACUCCAAUUAUCUCUUCAACAGCACAAUAAACAAUGACCAAAAUUCAACAGCGACAUUCCAGGCUGUUCUGAUUUCUGAUGGUGAUGUGUCUUUUGUCUUCAUGAACUACGGUGACAUUUCCCCACCACCAGAUGGAUAUGUGAUGGCAUAUUCCUACAGUAACUCUGAUCAGUAUCAGUAUAUCCUAAUAAGCUGCUUUCCAAAUGAGACUGUAAAUGCGGUGACCUUAAAGACUUCCAGCAACAUCAAUGUGCCGGGACGAUGGCUCAUUCCAACCUCAUUAGAGUCAAACUUC